RNAcentral lists this ribosomal RNA (759 nucleotides) under Parahaemophilus parainfluenzae. RNAcentral describes it as "Haemophilus parainfluenzae bacterial SSU rRNA". It matches the Rfam family "Bacterial small subunit ribosomal RNA", at positions 28 to 776 of the family's 1533-position model. The record is from RNAcentral. Lineage: Bacteria; Pseudomonadati; Pseudomonadota; Gammaproteobacteria; Pasteurellales; Pasteurellaceae.
AUUGAACGCUGGCGGCAGGCUUAACACAUGCAAGUCGAACGGUAACAUAAAGAAGCUUGCUUCUUUGAUGACGAGUGGCGGACGGGUGAGUAAUGCUUGGGAAUCUAGCUUAUGGAGGGGGAUAACUACGGGAAACUGUAGCUAAUACCGCGUAGAAUCGAGAGAUGAAAGUGUGGGACCUUCGGGCCACAUGCCAUAGGAUGAGCCCAAGUGGGAUUAGGUAGUUGGUGAGGUAAAGGCUCACCAAGCCGACGAUCUCUAGCUGGUCUGAGAGGAUGACCAGCCACACUGGGACUGAGACACGGCCCAGACUCCUACGGGAGGCAGCAGUGGGGAAUAUUGCGCAAUGGGGGCAACCCUGACGCAGCCAUGCCGCGUGAAUGAAGAAGGCCUUCGGGUUGUAAAGUUCUUUCGGUAGCGAGGAAGGCAUUUAGUUUAAUAAACUAGGUGAUUGACGUUAACUGCAGAAGAAGCACCGGCUAACUCCGUGCCAGCAGCCGCGGUAAUACGGAGGGUGCGAGCGUUAAUCGGAAUAACUGGGCGUAAAGGGCACGCAGGCGGUGACUUAAGUGAGGUGUGAAAGCCCCGGGCUUAACCUGGGAAUUGCAUUUCAUACUGGGUCGCUAGAGUACUUUAGGGAGGGGUAGAAUUCCACGCGUAGCGGUGAAAUGCGUAGAGAUGUGGAGGAAUACCGAAGGCGAAGGCAGCCCCUUGGGAAUGUACUGACGCUCAUGUGCGAAAGCGUGGGGAGCAAACAGG